Bombyx mori (domestic silkworm) is the source of this 670-nucleotide long non-coding RNA. RefSeq lists it as uncharacterized. Lineage: Eukaryota; Metazoa; Arthropoda; Insecta; Lepidoptera; Bombycidae. The transcript is spliced from 4 exons. The record is from RefSeq and is a predicted model, not a curated record.
UUUCAUUUGACUUUUUUCACUUUAUUUUUAAUCUGUUCAUCUUCUUUCUUGAAAUGUUUAGGUAUUGUUUCUAAAAUUAGGCACAUUUAGUAAUGUUUUGAUGUCUUUUUUUACACAAUGAAGAACAUAAUAUAUCCUUUGGACAGUGCAAUCGCCGAAUUCCGGGUUAUUAAAAGUAUUUAAAGUGUUUUGGAAUGCCUUACAUAAUAACUUAAUCUCGGUGAUGACGUAGUAAAAUUUUGAUUAUCACUAGAAGAUUGUAUCAGUUUCUUUGUAUAAUGCCGUUUUGAUGAAAGUGAAUUUAUGUGUUUUUGUGUAACACUAGUCGUUUUCGUUUCACUAUCAAAAACGGAGGAAUUCUUCAAUCUUAAUUCAGCAUGGGAUUGACGGCUGCAUAUUUGAUUUGAGGUCUUCGGCAAUUCAUACCAACCGUAAUACCUAACAGGCGUUCAUUCAGUAAAAGAGGUGAAACAAAAGUUCCAAAGCAACACUGAUUGGUUUGAGGUCGGCAUGCAUCACAUAUAAGUCGAAAAAUGUCAACGAUUUCACUGCCCUUUAAAACGGACACGAUUUCAUUCAAAACGAAAACACACAGUAAAAAAGCUAAUUUCAUUGUAGGCUCAUAAAAAAUUUAACAUUAUUUUCGCGAUAAAAUUUUUAGUUUACUUUA